This 498-nucleotide ribosomal RNA is filed under the name uncultured bacterium. Its description in RNAcentral is "partial 16S ribosomal RNA". It matches the Rfam family "Bacterial small subunit ribosomal RNA", at positions 30 to 523 of the family's 1533-position model. The record is from RNAcentral.
AUUGAACGCUGGCGGCAUGCCUUACACAUGCAAGUCGAACGGUAACAGGUCUUCGGAUGCUGACGAGUAGCGAACGGGUGAGUAAUACAUCGGAACGUGCCUAGUAGUGGGGGAUAACUACUCGAAAGAGUGGCUAAUACCGCAUGAGAUCUACGGAUGAAAGCAGGGGAUCGCAAGACCUUGUGCUACUAGAGCGGCCGAUGGCAGAUUAGGUAGUUGGUGGGAUAAAAGCUUACCAAGCCGACGAUCUGUAGCUGGUCUGAGAGGACGAUCAGCCACUCUGGGACUGAGACACGGCCCAGACUCCUACGGGAGGCAGCAGUGGGGAAUUUUGGACAAUGGGCGAAAGCCUGAUCCAGCAAUGCCGCGUGCAGGAUGAAGGCCUUCGGGUUGUAAACUGCUUUUGUACGGAACGAAAAGCCCCGGGUUAAUACCCUGGGGUCAUGACGGUACCGUAAGAAUAAGCACCGGCUAACUACGUGCCAGCAGCCGCCGUAA